UACGUAGGGUGCGAGCGUUAAUCGGAAUUACUGGGCGUAAAGCGUGCGCAGGCGGCUUUGCAAGACAGAUGUGAAAUCCCCGGGCUCAACCUGGGAACUGCAUUUGUGACUGCAAGGCUAGAGUACGGCAGAGGGGGAUGGAAUUCCGCGUGUAGCAGUGAAAUGCGUAGAUAUGCGGAGGAACACCAAUGGCGAAGGCAAUCCCCUGGGCCUGUACUGACGCUCAUGCACGAAAGCGUGGGGAGCAUACAGG
This 253-nucleotide ribosomal RNA is filed under the name uncultured bacterium. RNAcentral's name for it is "partial 16S ribosomal RNA". It matches the Rfam family "Bacterial small subunit ribosomal RNA", at positions 524 to 776 of the family's 1533-position model. The record is from RNAcentral.